Molecule: unclassified non-coding RNA, 1989 nt
Filed under: Zea mays
Lineage: Eukaryota; Viridiplantae; Streptophyta; Magnoliopsida; Poales; Poaceae
Description: misc RNA Zm00001eb203640
Source: RNAcentral
UUGCCUUCACCUAGGUUUUUGCCUCCCCGAAACCUUGGAGAUGCUCUCGGUUCUGCUUCGGUGGCGAAGCCUCGUCGGGCGACGCGAGGUCAGCUGCGGGAACUGCCGCCUCCUUUGAGGAAGACGAUCCGGCAGAAUUCGAAAGGGCAGCAGGUGGGAAGGCAACCGGGGGCCCAUGGAAACCCAUCUGGUAGGCCUUGUAAACCCAGUUUUAGCCCAUGGCUGGAUCCGGAACAAAUGGUUGGUAGGCCUUUCAACACCAUAGGGGCGAGUUUUGGCCCAUCCGGAGGUGAUUGGAAUGGACCGAAUCUGCUUGAAGGGAGUGCGGCGCGGCUCCUUCCCGGGAUCACGGUCAUUUGUUCAAGGUUGGGUACUAGGGUUAGCCACUACCCUGCUCCACGCUCCAGGUCUCUGGUUCUCGCGGUGGCAUCCUUCUCUUUCGCGGAUGUGCUGCGCGGAGGCAUGGAGAAGGGCGACGACAUUCGGGGGAUUGGUAAGGAUGAGCCCCCUAGGGGCUCCAGCCAAGGGAACGCCAUGGGGACGGGGCGAUUUGCCCCUCCGCGUGGGGGAUUCCACCCCGGUAGAGGCGGAUUUGGAGCUCGUGGAGGCUUCGGGAAUCAGUUCCAGGGCAACAGCAAGACGUGGAACCGUUUUGGUGGCGGAUGUGGCGGCUCUGGUCCUGGCCAGGGGCCGAGCGGCGAUGUGGUGCUCUUGGGGGCUGACUCCAGGAGAGGAGAAGAAGUGGUGCAGGGGCAGGCGGGUUUCAGUUUGGUGGCUGGAUCCAUGGCGGCUGAGCUACAGACGUCGGGCCUAAACAAGGGGUAUGCUAUUGAAGUAUACCUUCUGCAUCAAGUGGUUACCUCAUUGCAGGAAGCUAAGAAAGAUGGGAAGUCUGAUGUCUCGCUGGCUGAGUUGCUUAGGGCGAUGCUGGAGAAGGUCAAGGAUAAAGGUAAAUCACUGAUUAAUUCUGAGACCUCUUCUCUUGUUGAACCAACUUUGGGUGAUGGGGCCAGUCAGAUUAGUGGAGGGGCAGUGGCAGAGGUACCGGAGGGUUCGAACAAAGGGGGAAGCAGGAAGAAUGUAGCUAAGGCCUAUUGCCAUAGAUGUCGGUCUAAGGGACACUACUUGGCGGAUUGUAAGGAGGAAUUUUUGUGUGAGGUCUGUGACAGUGUGGACCAUCCUAAGAGUAGAUGCCCGGUUUUUAAUCAUCUCAAACAGAGACCCGGAUGCAUCUAUCUCAGCGGAUUCACGAUGGGGCUGGGAUUUUUCCAUAUUCAUGUGACUGUCAAGAAUCUGACAAAGAGGGAGGGUCUAGAUGCGGUGAUCAAAGUUACCGAAGGUGAGCUUACUGUGGUGGAAGUUACUGCUGAACUGAAGCGCCUAGUACCUGGGACACAAGAUUGGAAGGUGCAAAUGGUCCAGUCCAACGUGUUCCGGACAACUUUUCCUUCCACGACCGAGCUACAACGCCUGGUGGAAUGGGGAACGGUUCACUCAAAGAAGAAAGGGGUUCUUUUUCAUUUUGAGGAAAAGCAAGUGGAAAAACCGUGCAAGGUGGUGAACAGUUACUGGGUACAGGUGGCGGGCAUACCGUUGGUAUAUCGUACUUUCCCAACAAUUUGGGCAGUGGGUAUUUUGUUGGGUACAUCUAUUGAGGUGGACAUGAAACAUACCAGGCAAUUUGAGGUUGGUAGAGUCCAAGUUAUGAUUCUUGAUGCUAACCUUAUUCCCAGUACGGUGGAGGUGGUCAUUGGCGAGGAAGUAUACCUUCUGUCCUUCCGCGUUGAAGAUGGGAAUGGGGGGCUUCUACCUGAGACUGAGAAUGAUGAGAGGGGGUUCAAUGACGAUGAAGAUGACCUGUUAGGGGAUGAAGAUGGUGCUGAUCUUAAAGGGGAUGGUCCUGGGCAGCAUGGUAAGACGGGUGAUCGGGCUCCAGCUGCGGGCAUAGGGAGAAUAUUAACCCAACAAUCCAAGACUGGAACUGCUUAG